This 565-nucleotide ribosomal RNA is filed under the name Penicillium chrysogenum. Its description in RNAcentral is "eukaryotic LSU rRNA". The stretch from base 195 to 347 matches the Rfam family "5.8S ribosomal RNA". The record is from RNAcentral. Lineage: Eukaryota; Fungi; Ascomycota; Eurotiomycetes; Eurotiales; Aspergillaceae.
CCUGCGGAAGGAUCAUUACCGAGUGAGGGCCCUCUGGGUCCAACCUCCCACCCGUGUUUAUUUUACCUUGUUGCUUCGGCGGGCCCGCCUUAACUGGCCGCCGGGGGGCUUACGCCCCCGGGCCCGCGCCCGCCGAAGACACCCUCGAACUCUGUCUGAAGAUUGUAGUCUGAGUGAAAAUAUAAAUUAUUUAAAACUUUCAACAACGGAUCUCUUGGUUCCGGCAUCGAUGAAGAACGCAGCGAAAUGCGAUACGUAAUGUGAAUUGCAAAUUCAGUGAAUCAUCGAGUCUUUGAACGCACAUUGCGCCCCCUGGUAUUCCGGGGGGCAUGCCUGUCCGAGCGUCAUUGCUGCCCUCAAGCACGGCUUGUGUGUUGGGCCCCGUCCUCCGAUCCCGGGGGACGGGCCCGAAAGGCAGCGGCGGCACCGCGUCCGGUCCUCGAGCGUAUGGGGCUUUGUCACCCGCUCUGUAGGCCCGGCCGGCGCUUGCCGAUCAACCCAAAUUUUUAUCCAGGUUGACCUCGGAUCAGGUAGGGAUACCCGCUGAACUUAAGCAUAUCAAUAA